ACCUCACAUUUCUCUAAAAAGGAUAGUUAUAACCAUCUAAGGGGCUGUGAAAGAAGGUUUUGUUUUCCUUCUAAAAACUGUCUCCAGCUAAAGGGAAAGGGAACAAAUGAAAGCCUUAUUUAAUACGUUACAUUUGAAAUGCUUUCACUGUUUUUUCGCCCUUCUCUUCUGUAUCUUCAAUAAAAAGUUAAAAGGAUUUGUAAUGGUAUGUUUGCCAUGGUACUAAGCAGUCUGAGGUCUCUGUAUACAAAACCUUCUUUAAAAUUGUUUAAUGUUGGAGAGUGCCUGGGUUAUGUUAAUACCUUUGGCUCUAUGGGCGCAUAUAUUUCAUCAAAAUUAAUAUAUCAAGUCUAGGAUAUCUACUUUAAACACUAGGGUAGGGGGAUAUUACACAUUAUAAUUACAUUUUACCCUACUUAAAACAACUGUCAAAUAUGGUCAGUGAAUCACUGGUUUCAUGACACUUUGUAUUUAUAUUCUUUUCUUGUGUUGUAUCAUUCUACAUUAUUCCAGUUUGUUUCUCUAGAUUGUAAACCCCAAAGGGCAGAGAAAUUUUCACUUGUAUGGCACGGCUCUUCUCCUGGAAAAUGACAGACACACUUGUGAUGAUAUAAUCAAAGGGAACUCCAAAGCAAAUGCCUUCUCCCGUGCCUCAACCCUGUCCUCAAGAUGAAAAGCCAGCUUGAACCUUUCCUCUUGCCUCUGGCAUGUCUUUCCUCUUGCUGCAUGUCCUUUGCCUUUGGUACUUGACCUGAGUGUUGGCCCUGUCCAGAACUUCAAGCAUAAGUUCAUCACAUAAACACUUCCUCUUGGAAGGGUCUGUGAAGGUUUGGUGAACCAGGCUUCUGCAGCUUGGGUGAGUUGUGGUGGUACUGCAGCCUGUGGAGGUUGAGGUUGCCUGGAACAAGACAGGACAUUGUCUUUAGUAGCUCAGUGUAAAAUCACAGAAAAAGAUAAUUUUGUAAUUUCAGGGACAGAAAAUGUUACUGUACUGUUUGAAACUGAAUUUCAAUAGAUUGCCAGAGGGCUGCUUCACACCACAGAAGCUCCCUGAACACAGCUGGGUUAAUCUCCGUGAAUGAAGUGCUGAAAGAAUGGAUGAAUGGACUACAUUUAUGAGAAAUGAACUGCAUUUGAAAAUGGACUAUAUUUGAACCUCUUUCCCUUCCUCCCUGUUCUUCCUGGACAGUUCAAUCCUUUCAGGCAGCUUGUUACAUCAUUGGAUUGUUAUCAAGUGGCUUACGUACAGGGAAGAAGUGCUAGUGAUAUUUUUUUACCGUCUAUAUUGCAGAAUUAUCAUAUCAGUAUCAGCAGAUAAAGGACUCAGUCUUCCUCCUCCACUAAAAUCAAAGGGCAUUUACACAUGAUACUAGACAAGUGAAAGGAUUAAAACAACAACAAAAUAUCCUUGGUGAAGUGAGGCGGUGUGGCGCCCCUCCGUCCCGCAUAGGGCCGAACUUCCCCUAACCCCAACGUGGGCGGAGCCACCGGGUCCGGCGCCCGCCCCUCCGAGGUCACGGCCCCGACCCAGAAGUACAAAAGCCCUCCUGCAGAGCUCAGUGGAGCCCAGGCCGGCAGAGAGAGCAGACGUCCCGGGCCGAGCUCCCACUUGGGAUACAGCCGCAGGCCGCCUGCUACCCCACCGCGCCAGUCGAGCCUACCCCUCGCCAGGUACCCCGAGGAGGACUGGCCAAACCUGCCCCGGGCCCACUACCCUGAGGAGGAGCCAAGCCUGCCCCAUGCCAG
This is a non-coding RNA of Chrysemys picta bellii (western painted turtle), 1746 nucleotides long. NCBI's taxonomy places the organism in Eukaryota, Metazoa, Chordata, Testudines, Emydidae. The record is from RefSeq and is a predicted model, not a curated record.